AUUUUUUGAACACAACAAAUUUAACUGGGGCGGUAUAUCUGUCAAACAAUAACGCAAGUGUGCUAAGGUUGACUCAGUGAGGACAAAAACCUCACGUAAAGCAAAAGGGGCAAAAGUCAACUUGAUCUUGAUUUUCAGUUUGAUAAAGACUGCAAAAGCAGGCCCUAUCGAUCCUUUUGAUUUUAAGGGUUUUAAACAAGAGGUGCCAG
Molecule: ribosomal RNA, 209 nt
Filed under: Hofstenia miamia
Lineage: Eukaryota; Metazoa; Xenacoelomorpha; Acoela; Hofsteniidae
Description: eukaryotic large subunit ribosomal RNA
Rfam family: Eukaryotic large subunit ribosomal RNA
Source: RNAcentral